GAUCUGAGGAGUUCUUAAGGAAAGGAGCUGGAUUAACAAAGGGUGUUAGUGGAGUUCUAGAGGAUUUAUGUAGAAUAUGGUUUUCUGAAAUGCCUGGUAGUGAUAUUUCAAGAGUGACGCAGAUUCUUGAUGUGCUGUGUAAACAGUGUGCUGCCUCUGCUCUGGUGUGCACAGAAGCACCUUUCAUUGCUGGCUGCCUGUGUGGAGGCUGACUCAUCACUCACUCUGGAGUGUCAGCUGAUACAUGAAUUUCAAUUUCAUUCAAUUACCAAGUUUUAAUUGGAUCCCAUUGCCAGACUGGUCCCCUGUUCCAGACUGUCUCCUCUAAGCUAUGCUGUUACUAUGGCUACUUGGUUCCUUCUGCUUUAUCCCUGAUGUCAUCCCUGCAGCAGUGGAUGACAUCAACACCUACUCAGGUAGACUCCAGACAGUUACUGCAAAGCACUGUCACCUUGCACUUGCUUUCUUCUUACUGUCCAUCUGGAAUAGGAGCAGACCAUGGUGGUAAGGCUCUUAAUUUCCCUGUAUCUCUUUUACUUAGUAACUUUUGCCAAGUGUAAGAGUUCUGGGACCUUAGGAACUUGUGGAAGCCAUCUUUCUCUUCCCUUCCUGACUCUCAAUGAGCCCAGUGCAUUCUUUUAGGAGUAUGGCAUAUACUGUACAUAACCAUCUGUCGUACAGUUUACAUAAAUGAGCCAAAAGACAUCGCUUGCGUAUUUAACAGAAUGUCUUCCUUUGCUUGCUUGCUUAUGGUAGCUUGGUGUAGGUUUUUUUUUUUUUUCUCUCCCUCUCUCUUCAAAUGUAUUUCUUUUUUUCUGGAGCUGGAGAGGAUGAAUCAUUUCAGAGAGAGAAUAAUCUUUGUUCUGUAUUACACUGCUAUGUUGCUAUAUUUCUUGUGUUAAUUGAUGAUCUUUAUGCUUUCUGAGAAAUGUUCAGUGGGCUUUUAAUGUUUAACAUAUGUGUUUUUAAUGAAAAAAAAAACCAACAAAAUCAUAAUAUGCUAUGGAGUUCUUCCAUUGACCAUGGAAUUUAAAAAUUGCCAUCGGCCCUGGAGGAGAUCUGGUCUUAAAACCAACUGUUUCAGAUGAGGAAUACUAUCCAUCCAGAUUUUAGAAUGAUAUGUUGUUAUGCUUUGUAUCAUGUGCUUGGGUUCACAGCCUACAACCUCACCUCACUGGAUGUUACUUUUCUAGUUUCUUCUUAGCUCACACUACAGGGUAAACUAAGGUCGAGAGGCCUUCAAUAUCUUCCUUUCUUGUAGCUACAGAAGUAGGACUCACAGUUAAC
This 1287-nucleotide long non-coding RNA is filed under the name Mus musculus (house mouse). Its description in RNAcentral is "long non-coding RNA chr1:72372434-72373721". Lineage: Eukaryota; Metazoa; Chordata; Mammalia; Rodentia; Muridae. The record is from RNAcentral.